This is a small nuclear RNA of Chionomys nivalis (European snow vole), 106 nucleotides long. The record is from RefSeq and is a predicted model, not a curated record. Lineage: Eukaryota; Metazoa; Chordata; Mammalia; Rodentia; Cricetidae.
GUGCUCGCUUUGGCAGCACAUAUAUUAAAAUUGAAACGAUACAGAGAAGAUUAACAUGCCCCUAUGCAAGGAUGACACGCAAAUUCAUGAAACGUUGCAUAUUUUU